Molecule: ribosomal RNA, 468 nt
Filed under: uncultured bacterium
Lineage: Bacteria
Description: partial 16S ribosomal RNA
Rfam family: Bacterial small subunit ribosomal RNA
Source: RNAcentral
GACGAACGCUGGCGGCGGGCUUAACACAUGCAAGUCGAACGGAAAGGCCCUGCUUUUGUGGGGUGCUCGAGUGGCGAAGGGGUGAGGAACACGUGAGUAAGCUGCACUUGACGGUGGGAUAACGUCAGGAAACUGGGGCUAAUACCGGAUAGGAGCUACUGCAGCAGGGUGGGGGUGGGAAAGUUUCGGCGGUUGGGGAUGGACUCGCGGCUUAUCAGCUUGUUGGAUGGGUAGUGGCUUACCAAGGCAUUGACGGGUAGCCAGCCUGAGAGGGUGACCGGCCCCAUUGCGCCUGAGAUACGGCCCAGACUCCUAUGGGAGGCAGCGGUGGGGAAUAUUGCCCAAUGGGCGGAAGCCUGAUGCAGCAACGCCGCGCGCGGGAUGACGUCCUUCGGGUUGUAAACCGCUUUCGCCUGUGACGAAGCGUGAGUGACGGUACUGGCUAAAGAAGCACCGGCUAACUACGUG